This is a long non-coding RNA of Prosopis cineraria, 1879 nucleotides long. RefSeq lists it as uncharacterized. The transcript has 3 exons. NCBI's taxonomy places the organism in Eukaryota, Viridiplantae, Streptophyta, Magnoliopsida, Fabales, Fabaceae. The record is from RefSeq and is a predicted model, not a curated record.
GUGAAGUUACAUGUUUGAAAACAAUGCACAAGUUCACAAAUGAUUAUUCUAAUACAAGUUGAUGUAAGUAUCUACUUUGAAAACUUUAUAAAUUUGAGCGCAUCGAAGCAAAUAGCUAAAGCUAUCUGCUAGCAAGGAUUAGCAUAUCCAUAACUAAGAAGAAUAGAGAUCGAUGGGCGUGUCUUCUCUUUACCGUUUUCUGAUGGCUCUUCUAGUUAUCGUUUCCUCUUUUUUCUUGCAGUGCCCCAACGUUAAUGCAGGCAUGACGAUGAGGAAACUGGCUGGAUCUUUGCCAAGAACACCACCUCCACCAAAAGGGUCUCUGCGUAAAUCACCAAUUUUCAAACCACCUCCAGCACGACCACCUCCACCACCGAAGUAUAGCUAACAUUUUUUGGGAAUGAUCAACACAAUUAAUAAAGGAUCUAUGUUUUCUCACAUGAUCACGUCUCUAUUAUUCUUUCCUUACAUGCAGAGAGAGUAAAUUGCAGAAGCUGGUCUUCAAUUUUACAGGGAAACUUAUGUAACUUCUUCAUUGUAAUAUUCAACACCGUAAUCAUUCUUCUCUAAAUUCUCAUGAGUGGGCCAAUACACUUUGUAAAACAAUAAUAAAAAAGAAAAAUUAAAAUGAUAUUUUUAUAAAAAUAAUUUAAAUUUAAAUAUAAUGGAUUCAAAAUUUAAAAUCUAUUAGAUUUAAGUGAAAAAUAAAAACACUCAAAUUUUUAAAAUUUAAAUAUAUUUAGUUUAGGUCCAGUGGAUUUAAAAGUAUUGUAUCAAUGAGAAUAAGUUUUUAGAAUUUCUACCUGCUCCUCAUAAAUUUAAUACCCUCAAUUGUAUGUGCCUCGGUCACUACGAGGGCUGUGGAAUAUAUAUAGUCAACGCUAUAAUUGUAACUGAUCCUACUCUGCCAGCUGGUUUCCUCUGUGGAAUAUUUUGAAAUUGUGCGCGAUUAAAUCUUGGGAGAAUCACACCUAAUGAAGAAACAAAUUAGAUCCCUUAAAAAUUGUAAUUAGAAUGAAGGACUGAAACAAGAAAUUAAUAAAACGGAUUUGAAAUGACCCAUUACAGCUCUUUAAUUAAUCUCGAUACCGCUGGAAUUUAAUUUUUCUCCUGGGACAACCUACGUACCGAAAUCCAUGUUAGUAAAUAAUAGUAUUGGGUAUUAAAUGACUUUUUUAAAAAACAAAAAAGUUAAAAAAAAAAAGCACUCUAUUCUUCAUAAAUACUUAUUAACGUUAUUGUGAUUAAGUACUUUUUAGUAGUGAUAUCUUCUCACAAUUAAUUCAAAGAUCCCUCUUUAGCUUUUUUAUUUUUUAAAAUUAUUAAAAAAUAUUAUUUGUGAGGUUCAAAUAUUGGGGCGGUCUAAUUUUCAUUUGAAUCUUGUGUUUUACGUGUAACAACGACGUUGGCUCUCUCAAUUGUUAUUGGCCAAAUUAUGUACACUGAAUAAAUUAGUGUGAUAAUGAGUAUAUAAAUCGGAGGUGUAUGAUGAUUGGCAAGGACGGGAAACCAAAUAGGAAGAAAGAGAAGAAUAUUAUUCCUCUCCAUUCUUAUCGCUGUCCUGUCCACUGAAGCUUCUUCAGUCAAGCUCACCUACUGUACCCCGCGGUUCCCCUACCACGGCUCUGGAUCAUGGUCACUAGUCAUUUGUAGUGGAAGGACUCUUAAACUUAAGUCUUGACAUUUUUAAUUAACAUGUAAUGUGAAUUCUACCACGUAUUUGAGUUCUGAGAUAUAUAUAUAUAUAUAUAUAUUCUCAGGCACUGGUACAUAGAAAUUUUUGAGUUUAGAGAUGUUAUUUUUAUGCAUUCUCGUUUUUCAUAAAUUAAUUAAGGAUUGUAAGGAAAGAACACCAGUUUGCGGUUGUUGAAUGUCAAAU